This 974-nucleotide ribosomal RNA is filed under the name human gut metagenome. Its description in RNAcentral is "bacterial SSU rRNA". It matches the Rfam family "Bacterial small subunit ribosomal RNA", at positions 361 to 1333 of the family's 1533-position model. The record is from RNAcentral.
AUAUUGGUCAAUGGGCGGAAGCCUGAACCAGCCAAGUCGCGUGAGGGAAGAAGGCCCUGCGGGUCGCAGACCUCUUUGGACGGGGAGCAGCGCGGCGGACGCGUCCGCCGCUUGAGAGUACCCGUAGAACAAGCAUCGGCUAACUCCGUGCCAGCAGCCGCGGUAAUACGGAGGAUGCGAGCGUUAUCCGGAUUUAUUGGGUUUAAAGGGUGCGCAGGCGGCCUUUCAAGCCGGCGGUCAAAUGUCGGGGCUCAACCCCGUGCCGCCGUCGGGACUGGAGGGCUAGAGUGGGCGAGAAGCGCGCGGAAUGCGUGGUGUAGCGGUGAAAUGCAUAGAUAUCACGCAGAACCCCGAUUGCGAAGGCAGCGCGCCGGCGCCAGACUGACGCUCAGGCACGAAAGCGUGGGUAUCGAACAGGAUUAGAUACCCUGGUAGUCCACGCAGUAAACGAUGGAUGCUAGGUGUCCGGGGUAAAUGGACCCUGGGUGCCACAGCGAAAGCGUUAAGCAUCCCACCUGGGGAGUACGCCGGCAACGGUGAAACUCAAAGGAAUUGACGGGGGCCCGCACAAGCGGAGGAACAUGUGGUUUAAUUCGAUGAUACGCGAGGAACCUUACCCGGGCUCAAACGGCGGGGGACUGGCAUCGAAAGAUGCCUUCCGGCAACGGCCGCCGCCGAGGUGCUGCAUGGUUGUCGUCAGCUCGUGCCGUGAGGUGUCGGCUUAAGUGCCAUAACGAGCGCAACCCCCACCGCCAGUUGCCAGCAGGUAGAGCUGGGGACUCUGGCGGGACUGCCGGCGCAAGCUGCGAGGAAGGCGGGGAUGACGUCAAAUCAGCACGGCCCUUACGUCCGGGGCGACACACGUGUUACAAUGGCGGGUACAGCGGGAAGCCACCCGGCGACGGGGAGCGGAACCCGAAAGCCCGUCUCAGUCCGGAUCGGAGUCUGCAACCCGACUCCGUGAAGCUGGAUUC